GACGAACGCUGGCGGCGUGCUUAACACAUGCAAGUCGAACGGUAAGGCCCUUCGGGGUACACGAGUGGCAAACGGGUGAGUAACACGUGGGUGAUCUGCCCUGCACUUCGGGAUAAGCCUGGGAAACUGGGUCUAAUACCGGAUAGGACCACUGCCUGCAUGGGUGGUGGUGGAAAGCUUUUGCGGUGUGGGAUGGGCCCGCGGCCUAUCAGCUUGUUGGUGGGGUGAUGGCCUACCAAGGCGACGACGGGUAGCCGGCCUGAGAGGGUGACCGGCCACACUGGGACUGAGAUACGGCCCAGACCCCUACGGGAGGCAGCAGUGGGGAAUAUUGCACAAUGGGCGCAAGCCUGAUGCAGCGACGCCGCGUGGGGGAUGACGGCCUUCGGGUUGAAAACCUCUUUCAGCACCGACGAAGCGCAAGUGACGGUAGGUGCAGAAGAAGGACCGGCCAACUACGUGCCAGCAGCCGCCGUAA
Molecule: ribosomal RNA, 478 nt
Filed under: uncultured bacterium
Lineage: Bacteria
Description: partial 16S ribosomal RNA
Rfam family: Bacterial small subunit ribosomal RNA
Source: RNAcentral